GACGAACGCUGGCGGCGUGCUUAACACAUGCAAGUCGAACGGUCGAGCUCCAGCUUUCUGGAGUGGAUCAUUGGCGAACGGGUGAGUAACACGUGAGCAACCUGCCCCUGACUCUGGGAUAAGCGCUGGAAACGGCGGCUAAUACUGGAUACGAGAAUUUUCCGCAUGUGCACUUUCUGUAAAGGUGGUCGGUAGUGGCUGGUCUCGCGGCCUAUCAGCUUGUUGGUGAGGUAAUGGCUCACCAAGGCGACGACGGGUAGCCGGCCUGAGAGGGCGACCGGCGACACUGGGACUGAGACACGGACCAGACGCGUACGGGAGGCAGCAGUGGGGAAUAUUGCACAAUGGGCGAAAGCGUGAUGUAGCGACGCCGCGUGAGGGAUGACGGCCUUCGGGUUGUAAACAUCUUUCAGCAGGGAAGAAGCGAAAGUGACGGUACCUGCAGAAGAAGCACCGGCUAACUACGUG
RNAcentral lists this ribosomal RNA (468 nucleotides) under uncultured bacterium. RNAcentral describes it as "partial 16S ribosomal RNA". It matches the Rfam family "Bacterial small subunit ribosomal RNA", at positions 28 to 507 of the family's 1533-position model. The record is from RNAcentral.